Molecule: ribosomal RNA, 492 nt
Filed under: uncultured bacterium
Lineage: Bacteria
Description: partial 16S ribosomal RNA
Rfam family: Bacterial small subunit ribosomal RNA
Source: RNAcentral
AGUGAACGCUGGCGGUAUGCCUAACACAUGCAAGUCGAACGGCAGCACAGUGAGAUUUUGCUCUUACCGUUGGCGAGUGGCGGGCGGGUGAGGAAUACAUCGGAAUCUACUUUUUCGUGGGUGAUAACGUAGGGAAGCUGACGCUAAUACCGCAUACGAUCUACGGGUGGAAUCAGUAGAUAUUCGCAGCUUUCGCGUUUGAAUUAGCCGAUGUCGGAUUAGCUAGUUGGCGGGGUAAAGGCCCACCAAGGCGACGAUGCGUAGCUGAUCUGAGAGGAUGAUCAGCCACACUGGAACUGAGACACGGUCCAGACUCCUACGGGAGGCAGCAGUGGGGAAUAUUGCGCAAUGGGCGAAAGCCUGACGGAGCAAUGCCGCGUGGGUGAAGAAGGCCUUCGGGUUGUAAAGCCCUUUUAUUGGGAAAGAAAAGAAGUAGGUUAAACCAUGGCUGUUCUGACGGUACCCAAAGAAUAAGCACCGGCUAACUACGUG